GAUGAACGCUGGCGGCGUGCCUAAUACAUGCAAGUCGAGCGAACAGACGAGGAGCUUGCUCCUCUGACGUUAGCGGCGGACGGGUGAGUAACACGUGGAUAACCUACCUAUAAGACUGGGAUAACUUCGGGACACCGGAGCUAAUACCGUAUAAUAUAUUGAACCGCAUGGUUCAAUAGUGAAAGACGGUUUUGCUGUCACUUAUAGAUGGAUCCGCGCCGCAUUAGCUAGUUGGUAAGGUAACGGCUUUCCAAGGCAACGAUGCGUAGCCGACCUGAGAGGGUGAUCGGCCACACGGGAGCGGAGCCACGGUCAAGACUCCUGCGGGAGGCAGCAGUAGGGAAUCUGCCGCAAUGGGCGAAAGCCUGACGGAGCAACGCCGCGUGAGUGAUGAAGGUCUUCGGAUCGUAAAACUCUGUUAUGGGGGAAGAACAAAUGUGUAAGUAACUAUGCACGUCUUGACGGUACCUAAUAAGAAAGCAACGGCUAACUACGUG
RNAcentral lists this ribosomal RNA (497 nucleotides) under uncultured bacterium. Its description in RNAcentral is "partial 16S ribosomal RNA". It matches the Rfam family "Bacterial small subunit ribosomal RNA", at positions 28 to 507 of the family's 1533-position model. The record is from RNAcentral.